AAUAAGUAUAGCCAUGAUUUUCAGCGCCCAACUUUAACCAUUCGUCUUAUUUAAUUUUUUUUUAAAAAAAAUUAAAAACAUAAGUCAUGUUUUAUCAUCUUAUAACAAUAAAAAUGCUAAUUAUAAAAAAAUUUCAAAUAAAACGGACGAUCAAAAUUGGGCGUGAAAACUUAUGGCUGUACUUAUU
This 187-nucleotide microRNA precursor is filed under the name Oryza sativa Japonica Group (Japanese rice). Its description in RNAcentral is "MIR812 microRNA precursor family". It matches the Rfam family "MIR812 microRNA precursor family". The record is from Rfam by way of RNAcentral. Lineage: Eukaryota; Viridiplantae; Streptophyta; Magnoliopsida; Poales; Poaceae.